This 491-nucleotide ribosomal RNA is filed under the name uncultured Flavobacterium sp. RNAcentral describes it as "partial 16S ribosomal RNA". The record is from RNAcentral. Lineage: Bacteria; Pseudomonadati; Bacteroidota; Flavobacteriia; Flavobacteriales; Flavobacteriaceae.
CACGGAGUUAGCCGAUCCUUAUUCUUACAGUACCGUCAAGUUUGCUCACGAGCAAGUGUUUCUUCCUGUAUAAAAGCAGUUUACAAUCCAUAGGACCGUCAUCCUGCACGCGGCAUGGCUGGAUCAGGCUUGCGCCCAUUGUCCAAUAUUCCUCACUGCUGCCUCCCGUAGGAGUCUGGUCCGUGUCUCAGUACCAGUGUGGGGGAUCUCCCUCUCAGGACCCCUACCCAUCGUAGCCUUGGUAAGCCGUUACCUUACCAACUAGCUAAUGGGACGCAUGCUCAUCUUUCACCGUUGUGACUUUAAUAACAUCCUGAUGCCAGGUCGUUAUACUAUGAGGUAUUAAUCCAAAUUUCUCUGGGCUAUCCCUCUGUGAAAGGUAGAUUGCAUACGCGUUACGCACCCGUGCGCCGGUCUCUAGUUCCGAAGAACUAUACCCCUCGACUUGCAUGUGUUAAGCCUGCCGCUAGCGUUCAUCCUGAGCCAGGAUA